ACAAUUUUACAAUUUUACAAUUUCAAAUGCAUCAAUAUUUUGUAUUAUUGAUAAAACACCAAUACUUUUUCUGACAGCAGUAUAAGAAAAGUAACCAAACUGCGACUGUUGCCGAAAGCACCAAGUGUUAGAGUUAUAAAAGGUAUGGAUGAUCUUUCACGCAAGAUGGCAAGAAUACGAGGUUUUCAUUUGGACAUUUAUGAGAUCAAAUCUUUAAAAUAUAUAAAAGACUGACCAUCUAGCUCACCAUAUUGUCUGAAAAUAUUUCCCUUAAAUAUCAUUUUUAAAAUCCGCCUUCUAUUUUUAGGUUUUUACCUGUUUUUACGAGACAAAUAUUCGGCAUACCUUUUAGCAUUCAUGUGCCUUGGUCAGCGCCUUUCUUUGACAGUUUGACAGUUUGCUCAGACUCAGUUCUUUCUCUUGCAAAGAGCGUUUUUGUUCUUUGUCCGGAACUCGGGAUCAAAUUUUCGAAGUAAUCGUCCAGAAUCGGUUAAGACAUUACAAUCGGAUUGUUUUCCUGGCCAUGCAGCGCAAAAAGCACCCCGGUUAGUUGGAGGUUUCAUGGCAGUGUUCAAGGCCAAGUUGCGGAUGGCGGUGUUCAAGGCCAAGUUGCGGAUAAGCCGUGGCCAUAGCUGGAAAAAGUGGAUUCCGGUGAUAACGGCAAAAGUAGCAUGGAGUGAUCCGCAGCCGCCUGGAGGCUGACAAGACCGCAUCCGAUGUCAGCCAACCAAGUGAAAAAUAAGUGCAAAACAUCCGUGAAAAGUGUUCAAAAAAUAUUGUAGUGUUGUGAUGCUUUGUAAAUAAAAAGUUUUCAAAAAAAGUU
Molecule: long non-coding RNA, 823 nt
Organism: Culex pipiens pallens (northern house mosquito)
Lineage: Eukaryota; Metazoa; Arthropoda; Insecta; Diptera; Culicidae
Exons: 2
Source: RefSeq, a predicted model, not a curated record